This 316-nucleotide ribosomal RNA is filed under the name Enterococcus sp. oral taxon A43. RNAcentral describes it as "bacterial SSU rRNA". It matches the Rfam family "Bacterial small subunit ribosomal RNA", at positions 158 to 465 of the family's 1533-position model. The record is from RNAcentral. Lineage: Bacteria; Bacillati; Bacillota; Bacilli; Lactobacillales; Enterococcaceae.
AGGUGCUAAUACCGUAUAAUGCUUUUUCUCGCAUGAGAGCAAGCUGAAAGGCGCUUUUGCGUCACUGAUGGAUGGACCCGCGGUGCAUUAGCUAGUUGGUGAGGUAACGGCUCACCAAGCCACGAUGCAUAGCCGACCUGAGAGGGCUGAUCGGCCACACUGGGACUGAGACACGGCCCAGACUCCUACGGGAGGCAGCAGUAGGGAAUCUUCGGCAAUGGACGAAAGUCUGACCGAGCAACGCCGCGUGAGUGAAGAAGGUUUUCGGAUCGUAAAACUCUGUUGUUAGAGAAGAACAAGGAUGAGACGUAAAACU